CCUCUCUUCUGCUUCAACUUCACGUGAAAAAACUCUCAAGCCUCCCCUUGCUUCCUACUGCUCGUGCCGCCGCCACCACCAACCUGCGACCAUCGUCGUUCCUCGCCGUCGCCGGUCUGCACGGUAGCCUCCUCCGAUCCUUCUUCCUCUUCUCCUUCGUUUUCUUGCACUCCUCCUCACUUGUGUAUUCUUGUUUUCGCACAGCACCACCACCACGUUGCCACCAUCGCUCGUGGCUUUGCCUCAGCCGCCGUCGCUGCAGCCCUCGCCGUCCACCACUGCGAGCAACCACCGCUACCGCCCACGACAGCAACCACCUUCGUCCGGCCGUCAUUCCGCCGCUGCCGCACUCCUGCACCGCCGUCCAGCCCUCUUCUCUUCUCCCUCUUGGCGGAGAAUUCUCUGUAGGCGACUUUUAAAAGUGUUAAAGUGGCCUAUCAAUUUGUUUACACAAGGUUUGAAGAUGAUGCAUCAUUGGGUUCGGGAUUGGAGAGCUUGUAGUUUAAUUUGAUUUGCUAAAGUAAAUUUGGUUUGUUUAAUUGGACUUUAAACUUGUUGAAUUAGUUACAUCGACUUUGUUUUCGUUGAUUGGUUUUGGAAUUAAUUCCGUAGUUGACUAUUUAUAAAUUUAA
Spinacia oleracea (spinach) is the source of this 632-nucleotide long non-coding RNA. RefSeq lists it as uncharacterized. The record is from RefSeq and is a predicted model, not a curated record. The transcript is spliced from 4 exons. NCBI's taxonomy places the organism in Eukaryota, Viridiplantae, Streptophyta, Magnoliopsida, Caryophyllales, Amaranthaceae.